ACCCAGAGUUCUUCAGACAAUGCCCAUGAAACUCCUUCUAGCAAGAUGUACAAUCUUCAAGGAGACAAUUGGGGAUUCUUCAUUUGUCUGCAUAAACUAUCCUCAAUCAAGAUAAUAUAUGAAGAAAAGAGUCUUCUUGCCUGAAGAGAGCAACUGAAGGACCACAAGAAAGUGAAAUCUAUAAGGACUCCAAAAGAUAUUAAUGUCAAUCAGGUUAAUAACCCAAAUCACUGAGGAAACUAAUGCAACAGAUGGCAAUAUUCUGCAUUUAAAAGGCGCAAAGCUUCAAGGAUCUAUUGCUUCCCCCAAAAGCUUCAGGGAUGUCAGGAGGAGAGUCAGUUCAGCGUGGUCAGCACGUGGACACAUCUGUGAGGAAACCCAAGGAAAUAGGCAGCGUUGGUGGAACAGAGGAUCGCUCCCUGUCCAUGUGGCAACUGGAGAUUUCAUUCACUUGCUACUCACUACCCUAUCUGCACAAAUAGAGCACUGAACCCCAAAUAAGGCAUUUUGGCAAGUUUAAAGCUAGCAGCUUUAUGCCUUUUCUCACUGC
Molecule: long non-coding RNA, 550 nt
Filed under: Ictidomys tridecemlineatus (thirteen-lined ground squirrel)
Lineage: Eukaryota; Metazoa; Chordata; Mammalia; Rodentia; Sciuridae
Description: lncRNA (ENSSTOG00000034856.1)
Source: RNAcentral